Molecule: ribosomal RNA, 357 nt
Filed under: Triticum aestivum (bread wheat)
Lineage: Eukaryota; Viridiplantae; Streptophyta; Magnoliopsida; Poales; Poaceae
Description: partial small subunit ribosomal RNA
Source: RNAcentral
AUGGAUCUGGAUGCAACUGCUCUCGCCGGUCGCGGCCCGUGCUCGCGCUCGCCGUCGCCGAUGGGGAGCGCCUCGCGUGUGGCGGAGGGGCUUGAGCGCGUGGAUGUCCCUGGCGGUGGCUGCCGAAGUACGAGGUGCGGCUCCCCAUGGCGUUGGCUUCGAGCGCGGCCAUGGCGGCGGCCUCGAGUACGGCACCACACGCGCCAGCUCCUUCUCCGGGGUGUGCUCUGCCUCCUGCGGGGGCGCUGGCGACGCUGCCUCCGACCGGCGCUUCGACCUCAUCUUCGAGGCCAACGGUGCGCGGCGAGCUUGUGCUUCACGGGGCCAACCUCCGCGUCGAGGAGUUGCUCUCCAUGA